Molecule: long non-coding RNA, 1424 nt
Organism: Gadus macrocephalus (Pacific cod)
Lineage: Eukaryota; Metazoa; Chordata; Actinopteri; Gadiformes; Gadidae
Exons: 2
Source: RefSeq, a predicted model, not a curated record
AUGCUGCACCAAUGUGGACUCGUCUGUGUACUCAGAUCACUUUGUUUCUGUGGCUCUCGCAGCCCAUGUGAAUGGCGUGCUUAUGGUCUGUGAGACGCCAUGGGUAAAAUAAUUUUCAAAAUCGUCUAAAAUACUCUUGGUUCUUCUUGAACUAUAACAGCUAUGGUGAUCAACUGAAAUUGCCGGGUUUCUCACAAUCUCCGCCGUUGGCUACAGCUGGUGCUGUGCACCUUUGUGUUUGGGAGUCACAGACCUGCAGAACAAUAGGCCUUCCAUAACCCAGGAGCCAGAAAGAGGUCAACUGGAGCCAGGGCAGAUAUCUAAUGUUAAGGCAUUCAUGUGUCAUAAGUGAUUAGUGAAGUAUGUUGUUUAACAUCUGUUUCACUUGGACACUUGACUUUAUGUAAUCUUUUCAAUCUUUUGCUUAGUUUUCAUAACCAUAGAUCACUGAGACUAAAAUAGCAGACAGUGAACUAAUGAAUGAAUUAAUUAAUUAACGAUACAUAUUGGGAGGAGAGAAUUUAGCAUCUGAGCCUUUUCUGGAGAACAUGCUGGGAUAUUGAUCAAUGCAUUGGACUACUACUGGUACAUUUGUACAUGUGUAAUUACCAUCCUGGGCCAGACCCUCAUGUCAUGGAGCCCCGCUGUGAAAUGAUAGGUGCUGUGAGAGCAGAGUCACGCCGAUGCCCUCCCUGCAAUCACCGUCCCUUGUAUAGACUUUUAAUGACAAAACAUCCAUUCAACCUGCCGCCAUAUUCCAUGUUCUCCCAGGGUGCAUGUAUUUUUGGCUGUAUCUCCCUGGUCAUCUUAUUUCCGCUCAUUAUGGUCUGGGCCCAUUACGCUCUAUCUAUCAUUCAUAGCGGCUCCAGGCGGCCAGCCACCUCUAUUAUGUGGCUUCAGACCGGCCGAGACUAGCCUGGCAGCAGAAUAAUACACGCCACAUCCUGCCAGCCCGGCACCCAGCGAGGGGGAUUUAUUGAUACUUUUAUUUAGCUUCAGUGCACAACAUGUAGCGCGCGCCCCUGUACUGGCUGGCAAAGGGCCUGUGUGGGCGUUCAGGCUAGGGUUGUUCCGUGGGCUCUGACAUCAGUAUGAAGCAGACGAAGCAGCCCCUCUGUCUGGCUCAUUAGCACGACGGGCGACCAUGUACCAAAUAUUUCAGUUCUUGUCUUGUGUGCUUCCUAAUGGUCCCUCAAGACCGUUGCGUCGCCCCUCUUCUCUGACCUCUGUGCAUGGUUUAGGAUCCUCAGACAUUAAGCAUGGGUGUCUGUCAUCACCCUGGACAUAUGUGUGUGCACGUGCUUGUUGGUGUGUGUGUGUGUGUGUGUGUGUGUGUGUGUGUGUGUGUGUGUGUGUGUGUGUGUGUGUGUGUGUGUGUGUGUGUGUGUGUGUGUGUGUGUGUGUGUGUGUGUGUGUAUUAGGAG